GACGAACGCUGGCGGCAUGCCUAAUACAUGCAAGUCGAGCGAACAUUUAAAAGAGCUUGCUCUUUUAAAUGUUAGCGGCGGAUGGGUGAGUAACACGUGGGCAACCUGCCCUGCAGAUUGGGAUAACUCCGGGAAACCGGGGCUAAUACCAAAUAAACAGUUUGUCCGCAUGGACGAACUCUAAAAGACGGUUUCGGCUGUCACUGUAGGAUGGGCCCGCGGCGCAUUAGCUAGUUGGUGGGAUAACGGCUACCAAGGCAACGAUGCGUAGCCGACCUGAGAGGGUGAUCGGCCACACUGGGACUGAGACACGGCCCAGACUCCUACGGGUGGCAG
Molecule: ribosomal RNA, 336 nt
Filed under: uncultured Bacillota bacterium
Lineage: Bacteria; Bacillati; Bacillota
Description: bacterial SSU rRNA
Rfam family: Bacterial small subunit ribosomal RNA
Source: RNAcentral